Molecule: long non-coding RNA, 364 nt
Organism: Stegodyphus dumicola
Lineage: Eukaryota; Metazoa; Arthropoda; Arachnida; Araneae; Eresidae
Source: RefSeq, a predicted model, not a curated record
AGCUCCUUUGCCAAAAGUGUCUGUAAAUUUGCUUUAAGAGUGUAAUGCUGUAACGUAGUUUUAUUUAUUACGUACUGCUAACACAAUGAAAGCUGAGGCGUUACAUGAUAGUUCAAAAUUAUCAGAUUUUUAUAACUGCAAGAAGUUCCCGAAGAUGCUGUUAAUGUCCUAAAAGGGUAAAGGCAAAGCAAGUAUUUUAGCAUCAGGUUGUUAUUUGAAAAAAAAAAAAAAAAAAUCCAAAUUCUGCACUUCUAAUAUUUGCUAAAUGGAAUAGAAGACAUGGAAUCUCUUGGACCAGCUCAGAAUAAACAGCCCAUUAUAGUGUGUAUUACAAGUUCAUUCUAUAUUUAAAGCAGUAAAUCAC